CCUCUCAUGGCGUAGUGGUUAACGCGCCCCAACUAGAGAUCGGGGAGUCGUGAGUUCGAUUCUCAUUGAGAAGA
RNAcentral lists this transfer RNA (74 nucleotides) under Aedes aegypti (yellow fever mosquito). It matches the Rfam family "tRNA". Rfam says of the family: Transfer RNA (tRNA) molecules are approximately 80 nucleotides in length. Their secondary structure includes four short double-helical elements and three loops (D, anti-codon, and T loops). Further hydrogen bonds mediate the characteristic L-shaped molecular structure. tRNAs have two regions of fundamental functional importance: the anti-codon, which is responsible for specific mRNA codon recognition, and the 3' end, to which the tRNAs corresponding amino acid is attached (by aminoacyl-tRNA synthetases). tRNAs cope with the degeneracy of the genetic code in two manners: having more than one tRNA (with a specific anti-codon) for a particular amino acid; and 'wobble' base-pairing, i.e. permitting non-standard base-pairing at the 3rd anti-codon position. Lineage: Eukaryota; Metazoa; Arthropoda; Insecta; Diptera; Culicidae. The record is from Rfam by way of RNAcentral.